GGGGAUUCUUCUCUAAUCUUUCAGAAACUUUGUCUGCGAACACUCUUUAAUGGACCAGAUCAGGAUUUGAGCGGAAGAACGAAUGUAACUUUAAGAGGCAUUUCAUCCUUCAUGAAGCCAUUCAGGAUUUUGAAUUGCAUAUGAGUGCUUGGCUCUUCCUUCUGUUCUAACUUCACAGAGAAUGCAGUUGUCUUGACUUCAGAUGCAACCUUAAAAUCAGUGACAAGAAACAUUCCAAACAAGCAACAGUCUUCAAGAAAUUAAACUGGCAAGUGGAAAUGUUUAAACAGUUCAGUGAUCUUUAGUGCAUUGUUUAUGUGUGGGUUUCUCUCUCCCCUCCCUUGGUCUUAAUUCUUACAUGCAGGAACACUCAGCAGACACACGUAUGCGAAGGGCCAGAGAAGCCAGACCCAGUAAGAAAAAAUAGCCUAUUUACUUUAAAUAAACCAAACAUUCCAUUUUAAAUGUGGGGAUUGGGAACCACUAGUUCUUUCAGAUGGUAUUCUUCAGACUAUAGAAGGAGCUUCCAGUUGAAUUCACCAGUGGACAAAAUGAGGAAAACAGGUACCCCUCACUAAAGGCACCGAAGGCUUAAAGUAGGACAACCAUGGAGCCUUCCUGUGGCAGGAGAGACAACAAAGCGCUAUUAUCCUAAGGUCAAGAGAAGUGUCAGCCUCACCUGAUUUUUAUUAGUAAUGAGGACUUGCCUCAACUCCCUCUUUCUGGAGUGAAGCAUCCGAAGGAAUGCUUGAAGUACCCCUGGGCUUCUCUUAACAUUUAAGCAAGCUGUUUUUAUAGCAGCUCUUAAUAAUAAAGCCCAAAUCUCAAGCGGUGCUUGAAGGGGAGGGAAAGGGGGAAAGCGGGCAACCACUUUUCCCUAGCUUUUCCAGAAGCCUGUUAAAAGCAAGGUCUCCCCACAAGCAACUUCUCUGCCACAUCGCCACCCCGUGCCUUUUGAUCUAGCACAGACCCUUCACCCCUCACCUCGAUGCAGCCAGUAGCUUGGAUCCUUGUGGGCAUGAUCCAUAAUCGGUUUCAAGGUAACGAUGGUGUCGAGGUCUUUGGUGGGUUGAACUAUGUUAGAAAAGGCCAUUAAUUUGCCUGCAAAUUGUUAACAGAAGGGUAUUAAAACCACAGCUAAGUAGCUCUAUUAUAAUACUUAUCCAGUGACUAAAACCAACUUAAACCAGUAAGUGGAGAAAUAACAUGUUCAAGAACUGUAAUGCUGGGUGGGAACAUGUAACUUGUAGACUGGAGAAGAUAGGCAUUUGAGUGGCUGAGAGGGCUUUUGGGUGGGAAUGCAAAAAUUCUCUGCUAAGACUUUUUCAGGUGAACAUAACAGACUUGGCCAAGCUAGCAUCUUAGCGGAAGCUGAUCUCCAAUGCUCUUCAGUAGGGUCAUGAAGGUUUUUCUUUUCCUGAGAAAACAACACGUAUUGUUUUCUCAGGUUUUGCUUUUUGGCCUUUUUCUAGCUUAAAAAAAAAAAAAGCAAAAGAUGCUGGUGGUUGGCACUCCUGGUUUCCAGGACGGGGUUCAAAUCCCUGCGGCGUCUUUGCUUUGACUACUAAUCUGUCUUCAGGACUCUUUCUGUAUUUCUCCUUUUCUCUGCAGGUGCUAGUUCUUGGAGUUUUGGGGAGGUGGGAGGUAACAGCACAAUAUCUUUGAACUAUAUACAUCCUUGAUGUAUAAUUUGUCAGGAGCUUGACUUGAUUGUAUAUUCAUAUUUACACGAGAACCUAAUAUAACUGCCUUGUCUUUUUCAGGUAAUAGCCUGCAGCUGGUGUUUUGAGAAGCCCUACUGCUGAAAACUUAACAAUUUUGUGUAAUAAAAAUGGAGAAGCUC
Molecule: long non-coding RNA, 1843 nt
Filed under: Homo sapiens (human)
Lineage: Eukaryota; Metazoa; Chordata; Mammalia; Primates; Hominidae
Source: RNAcentral